RNAcentral lists this ribosomal RNA (464 nucleotides) under uncultured Desulfobulbus sp. Its description in RNAcentral is "bacterial SSU rRNA". It matches the Rfam family "Bacterial small subunit ribosomal RNA", at positions 925 to 1382 of the family's 1533-position model. The record is from RNAcentral. Lineage: Bacteria; Pseudomonadati; Thermodesulfobacteriota; Desulfobulbia; Desulfobulbales; Desulfobulbaceae.
ACAAGCGGUGGAGUAUGUGGUUUAAUUCGAUGCAACGCGAAGAACCUUACCUGGUCUUGACAUCCCGGAGACCCUUAGGAAACUAGGGGGUGCUUCCAUCUGGAAGAAGUCUGGAGACGGGUGCUGCAUGGCUGUCGUCAGCUCGUGUCGUGAGAUGUUGGGUUAAGUCCCGCAACGAGCGCAACCCUUGCCUUUAGUUGCCAGCAGUUCGGCUGGGCACUCUAAAGGGACUGCCGGUGUUAAACCGGAGGAAGGUGGGGAUGACGUCAAGUCCUCAUGGCCUUUAUGACCAGGGCUACACACGUACUACAAUGGCCGAUACAAAGGGCAGCGACACUGCGAGGUGAAGCCAAUCCCGUAAAAUCGGUCUCAGUCCGGAUUGGAGUCUGCAACUCGACUCCAUGAAGUUGGAAUCGCUAGUAAUCGUGGAUCAGCAUGCCACGGUGAAUGCGUUCCCGGGUCUU